RNAcentral lists this ribosomal RNA (253 nucleotides) under uncultured bacterium. RNAcentral's name for it is "partial 16S ribosomal RNA". It matches the Rfam family "Bacterial small subunit ribosomal RNA", at positions 524 to 776 of the family's 1533-position model. The record is from RNAcentral.
GACGAACCUUGCAAACGUUAUUCGGAAUCACUGGGCUUAAAGGGUGCGUAGGCAGUGCAGAAAGUCGGGUGUGAAAUCCCUCAGCUCAACUGAGGAAUUGCGCCCGAAACUGCUGUGCUAGAGGAAUACAGAGGUGAGCGGAACUUAGGGUGGAGCGGUGAAAUGCGUUGAUAUCCUAAGGAACACCGGUGGCGAAAGCGGCUCACUGGGUAUUUUCUGACGCUGAGGCACGAAAGCUAGGGGAGCAAACGGG